CGAUGGGAGCUUGCUCCCUGAGAUUAGCGGCGGACGGGUGAGUAACACGUGGGCAACCUGCCUAUAAGACUGGGAUAACUUCGGGAAACCGGAGCUAAUACCGGAUACGUUCUUUUCUCGCAUGAGAGAAGAUGGAAAGACGGUUYUGCUGUCACUUAUAGAUGGGCCCGCGGCGCAUUAGCUAGUUGGUGAGGUAAUGGCUCACCAAGGCGACGAUGCGUAGCCGACCUGAGAGGGUGAUCGGCCACACUGGGACUGAGACACGGCCCAGACUCCUACGGGAGGCAGCAGUAGGGAAUCUUCCGCAAUGGACGAAAGUCUGACGGAGCAACGCCGCGUGAACGAAGAAGGCCUUCGGGUCGUAAAGUUCUGUUGUUAGGGAAGAACAAGUACCAGAGUAACUGCUGGUACCUUGACGGUACCUAACCAGAAAGCCACGGCUAACUACGUGCCAGCAGCCGCGGUAAUACGUAGGUGGCAAGCGUUGUCCGGAAUUAUUGGGCGUAAAGCGCGCGCAGGUGGUUCCUUAAGUCUGAUGUGAAAGCCCACGGCUCAACCGU
RNAcentral lists this ribosomal RNA (560 nucleotides) under Bacillus sp. (in: firmicutes). RNAcentral's name for it is "bacterial SSU rRNA". It matches the Rfam family "Bacterial small subunit ribosomal RNA", at positions 70 to 616 of the family's 1533-position model. Lineage: Bacteria; Bacillati; Bacillota; Bacilli; Caryophanales; Bacillaceae. The record is from RNAcentral.